AUGGAUUUGGGUAGCUGGUCGCCACACCGCGAGAAAGGUACGUCUUCCCCUCGGCUCGCCCUCCCUUGGACGGCGACGGCCGUCACGUCUGAAGACAUGCCACCAGCAUUGAAGAGGCGCAAACUAGUUCGUCUGUCCUUCAAAGGACCAGUUCGCUUCCUUCGGAUCAGUAGUAAGGCUGAUGCCUUCAUGGCUGUUGAAGCCUUGAAGGAAGGACAGGACCUGAAGAUCGCCAUCUUGGAGGAUCUCGCCCUCGGGGAGGCCUCUCAUGUGGCGCAAGCGAUUCUGCCCUUUUACCCGCGCGUCCUCGAGGGACCAGACUUGUUGCUCCUAUGCAACAAGAUCGGUGAGGAGGCCGCGGUGAAGUCCUGCCUGCAGAUGAACCAGUCUGCGCUUGCGGUUCUGGAGACGCAGUCCAGAGAUCUCAACCUGUCGAUUGCUAGGGACACAGCUAUGUUACGCUAG
Molecule: ribosomal RNA, 465 nt
Filed under: Triticum aestivum (bread wheat)
Lineage: Eukaryota; Viridiplantae; Streptophyta; Magnoliopsida; Poales; Poaceae
Description: partial small subunit ribosomal RNA
Source: RNAcentral